This 72-nucleotide transfer RNA is filed under the name Camelus bactrianus (Bactrian camel). It matches the Rfam family "tRNA". Rfam says of the family: Transfer RNA (tRNA) molecules are approximately 80 nucleotides in length. Their secondary structure includes four short double-helical elements and three loops (D, anti-codon, and T loops). Further hydrogen bonds mediate the characteristic L-shaped molecular structure. tRNAs have two regions of fundamental functional importance: the anti-codon, which is responsible for specific mRNA codon recognition, and the 3' end, to which the tRNAs corresponding amino acid is attached (by aminoacyl-tRNA synthetases). tRNAs cope with the degeneracy of the genetic code in two manners: having more than one tRNA (with a specific anti-codon) for a particular amino acid; and 'wobble' base-pairing, i.e. permitting non-standard base-pairing at the 3rd anti-codon position. RNAcentral also lists the same sequence under 2 other names. The record is from Rfam by way of RNAcentral. Lineage: Eukaryota; Metazoa; Chordata; Mammalia; Artiodactyla; Camelidae.
GAGGGUAUAGCUCAGUGGUAGAGCACAUGCUUAGCAUGCACAAGGUCCUGGGUUCAGUCCUCAGUAUCUCUA